AGGGUUGUAGUUAAAUAUAACAUUUGACUUGCAUUCAAAAAGUAUUGAAUUAUCAAUCUUCCUUA
This 65-nucleotide transfer RNA is filed under the name Hierodula patellifera. RNAcentral describes it as "tRNA-Ala". It matches the Rfam family "tRNA". From Rfam's summary of the family: Transfer RNA (tRNA) molecules are approximately 80 nucleotides in length. Their secondary structure includes four short double-helical elements and three loops (D, anti-codon, and T loops). Lineage: Eukaryota; Metazoa; Arthropoda; Insecta; Mantodea; Mantidae. The record is from RNAcentral. RNAcentral also lists the same sequence under 1 other name.